Non-coding RNA from Solanum lycopersicum (tomato), 1320 nucleotides. The record is from RefSeq and is a predicted model, not a curated record. NCBI's taxonomy places the organism in Eukaryota, Viridiplantae, Streptophyta, Magnoliopsida, Solanales, Solanaceae.
GCUGAGAUUUGGUGGUAGUUACAAGACUUCACCCUCAACAUAUUGAAUAGGAUUAUAGAUGAGCUCAUUAUCAACGUAUCAUUGUUCCUGAAAUGGGCAUUAGUGCAGUAUGGAGAAUUGUAGUAUUUAAGAUGGAGACUUUCAUCAAAUGCUCCCUCAGAUGUCUGCCUAGUCUUCCUUCAGGAUUUUAAAUCUUCCGUCCUUCUGGUUAAAGAGGCAUUUAUUUAGAACGGUGAGAAGGAAUCUCUAGAAUCUUGUGUAAAGCAUUGAACUUCUAUGCUUCUGAGAGUCGUGGGGAGUUGUAGCUUGGUUCACUCAUCUCCUGAUAGUGCCUUGUAUGUUCGCUUUUCGUUAAUUGAGUAUUUUUUUCUUGGUAUAGGUUGUGUUCUUUUUUCAGAACGUUGGCUAAUCAGGAAAGCAACCCUUGUAUCAUCCACAGAGCUAGAAGCUUUGGGGUACUCAUCAGAUAUAUGCAACGGAAGCAGCUUCCAGACUUGGUAAACUGAUGAUGGAUGCCCUUAUUUUCAUGCAUAUGGAAUUGAGAAGAUCCUAUGGACCUGAAGAGUGGUUGCCCUCAAUGGAUCUGAUGGGAUAAGCUUGAACUAGGCAGUUAAAGGACAUAGCUUAGUGGAUGGCUGUCAUACGGGAUGGUGAUGUUUGAAUAUUCACUGCUUGUAAACUUGAAAAUGUUGGAUGAUCUUUAAUUAUCAAGGCUCGAAAGGUUGCAUAAUAAUCUUGCACAGACUGCCUCCAAGGCUUAGCUCGAGUGGAAGAAGGUGGUGUCGCAGGUUUGAGCCCCACACCAUGCAAAGGGAAGCCCCGAAUUUAAGUGGAGAGGUGUAGAGGGCGGGCCUAUUAUCCACUGAGUUUAGAAGGCUAUGAUUGGUCCAAAGAGCGGGUCACAGGCGGAUUUUUCGGUUAUAAAAGAAAAGAAUCUUGCAGAGACUUUCAAAAACUCCAGAUGUUUUGAUGACUGGGUGGGUAUGCUAUAGUUUGAAAAAUUCAUUUUUCUGUAGUUUUGCCAAUACUCAACAUCUUUGUCUAGUAGUUUAGAUUAUUGGAUUUCUUCUUCUUCACACGCAUCUGCAUGUUUGCUGUGAUAGCUCACCAAUAGGGAUGGUACUAUUUUCUUGAAUGACGAGCUCUUGGAGAUGAAGUGCAUUCUCCAAAUUUCUUAGCACCUCACCCAUAGACGGAAUGUGCACCAGAUUAUGCUAAGUAUUUCACUGCGUUUCUCCAAACUUGCUGAAGGAAUCUGGUCUUACAUUGCCCAGAAGGUCGGGAUCUAUGAUAUGUUCCAUCUAUCUCUUCUCUUGCAAA